Meleagris gallopavo (turkey) is the source of this 2983-nucleotide non-coding RNA. The record is from RefSeq and is a predicted model, not a curated record. NCBI's taxonomy places the organism in Eukaryota, Metazoa, Chordata, Aves, Galliformes, Phasianidae.
UUUCUACAGCCCUCGCCGAAGCCCAGGCAGUGCCACGAAGCAGAACUGCUUUCUGUUUGAGGUGUCAGCAACUCCUGCCCCCGAGCGCUCAGCCAACAGCUUGGCUUUUCUUGUGCACUCACUGCAAGCACACUCUGCUGUCUAUGUAUAUGCAGUUGCUAAAGUUAACCAGGGAUGCUGUGCACAAGCAGCAAAGUGAUCCUGCUACUGUACUGAAAUCCAGAUGUAGGACCCAAGAGGAUGGUACAGAAGCUGAGAUAUCUCACCACGCUUGAUGGCCUCUGGGAUGGACACGGCCAAAGGAGGUAAUGCCUCUGGAUGCAGUGAACACUAGUCUACGUGUGGCAGAGUAUAAAAGCUGAGAGAUUCAUGAUCCCAUCUAAAAGAUACACUGUGCUUUCUCUGAGGUGCUCUAUCAGAGCACAUCUGCUGCAAGGCUCCAGCCUGGCAGGCAUGUCUCAUCUGUCAGACACAGGUGAAGAAGAGCAGGUUGAUCUUCCAAGUGAGAGAGCAAGCUACAGAGAACAAAAGCAAAACUGUCUCAUUUUGGGCUGUCAUUGUGAAAGCUGCUAGGGCUGAGGGCUGAGUGCCCCAACAUGCUAUCAAAGAAAAUAAAUGAAUUCUGAUUCAGGUUUAGCUGCACAUUAGGUGAGCAUACGGCUGUGCUGCUCUAAUUAUUAGAGAAUUUGGCCUUCCAAAGUGGUGUAUUUUAUUUCUGAAGGAGUGACUUUUUCAUGUUUGGCAUUCUACAAAACAGUCUGUAUGGGUAAGGACACUUUGAUAUUCAUAUAAAUUGUGUUGUUUAAACGAAGUACACAAAAACACAUGGUCAAUAGCCAUCAUAUUUUAAUAGCAACAGUUCAUGGAAGUAGCAUUACACAGAACAAAAAUCCAUUUAAAAGCGUCAAAGCUGCUUUUCCCUACAUGCACACACAGUGCAGUGCUGCUGGGCAAAUAGAUAAAUGCAACCCGUUGGACCUGCAAAUCAAUUUCUGCAUUGUUAGAGACAAGUGAAAAUGAGUCUUUUGCACUAUUGACCCCAGACAGGCUGGGCAAUGGUAAUAGCAGGUCAGCCCACUGCUUCCUUUAUGGCCCAAUGCUGAUAACUCUGCUAAAUUAUCUCCAACUAAAACCUGGAGGUUGUGGCUAGUGAGGAAUAAGAAUCACUAGGGUUUCCCAUGCUCUCCAGUUAUGACGAAAGCAAAGGGAGACAAGUUCGUGGCAGAGUACAGCAUGAUCAUACCUACUGAGCACUGACAGGCAAGCUCCAACAGGUUUCAAUGGGCAUCCAAAGGCUUUAGUGCUCUCAGAUGUCCACCCCAGCUGCACAAACAUCCUCACCCUGGUUUUGGGUACUUAUAGCUCAGUGGGUGCUGUAAGCUGGUGAGUCAGUCUCCUCUGUCUGCUGAGUUUGUUAUCUGGCAGCAACAGCAGUUACUGGUGGGUGCUAAGGCCCUGAAGCUUUUCCUUCCAUUAUGAGUUUUAACACUUUUCCUUCUGGGGUCAGAUGCUGAGCAAGCAGGACACUGGUCCAGCAGAGCAGGAAAAUCAGGCUUCUGAGAUGUCAGCACCCAAGCUGGAGGGUAGAAGCAGGACUCAGAAGUGGGUGACAAAGUGCACAAGUGGCCACAGAAAUCCUCCAAGACUUAAAAACCUUCCCACCAACAGAUAUUGUAUAAUCAUGUAGAGCUCUCUGUCCUGGCACAGGAUUCACCAGCAGCCAGCACCUGGAAUACUGUGCUCCUUUGCACUGAGCUGAAACAUGAACAUAAAUUAUCACUUCUGAAUUUACUUCACUGCAAAAAGAGGAAAAUACUCAACUAGGAGGUAUAAAGUGGCACAGGCUGCCCAGGGAGGUGGUGCAGUAACUGUCCCUGGAGGUGUUCAAGAACCGUGUGGAUGUGGGACUGAGAGAUGUGGGCAGUGAGUUUGGUGGGGAUGGGCUGAUGGUUGGACCAGGUGAUCUUAGAGGUCUUUUCCAACCUUCAUGAUUCUAUGGUUCUAAAGCCUCUGUAAGCCAGCCCUUUGCACUUGUGACCAUCUCCAUACGCAUGGUGAGCACAGUCUGUGGAGGAUGAGGUGAGGUUAUUGCAGCCCCUUGUGACUGCUGAGGAAAAUGUACAAGGCCUGAGGUUGUUUAGGCUAGAGCAGACUAGAGAGAAGGAUUAUUGGCAGUCAGCAUGAAGACUUUUGCAGGGGAAUAGAACCAUCGUCUUCAGUCUUGUAAGCAGAAACUGAAGGAGGAGAGCAGCAAUCGCAGAAUAGAUACACUUUCCCAAGCACUAUGGACAAUGCACCACUAUGAGGGCUUGUCUGAAGUGGACGGCUUGUCUGAACUGGACCAGAUCCAUCAUCUCUGGAGGCUUUUAGGAACAGACUGGAGAAGUACCUGUCAAGAAUAGCACAGCUCUUCUGGGCAGGCAAAACUUCUAGUCCUCCUUAGCCCCAUUUUUCUACCAUUGUAGGACAUUUGCAAAACACUGCUUUGAAAACUCAGCCUUGUGACUAAUUUUAAGGGUUACAUCUCCAGCAGGCAUAGCUGGAAACAAAUUUGCACAGUUUGUAUACUGUGGACCUGGACAGUGUUGGGUAUUCAGGUCCCUUCUUACUACUCUUCACAAAGCUUUGAGGUGAAAGGUCGAGCUAACAUGUAAUUCUGAGUAUGUCUCUUCCAGAGAGAUGAGACACUGAUGGCCAACUGAAAAAAUCAGCAGAAAAACAGCUGCAUCAUCCCAGCCAUAUAUGAAACAGUACUUUUCUUCAUUUCAACAUUGUGCUUUAUUCUCCCUCUCCUUUAUCUAUCACUUUAGAAUUUAUUUUCUCUUCACUGAAUUUAGCAAUAACUCCUAUGAUGCCAAAACAAGAUAUUACCUUGACUAGGCUUCAUGAGCUUAAAAACACCACAAAACUACUCUGUCUGUGCAGGCAGGAAGGAGGUUUUUCCUGGCUAAUGUAGAACAUGUCAAAGAGAAAAAAAAAAAAA